Molecule: ribosomal RNA, 253 nt
Filed under: uncultured bacterium
Lineage: Bacteria
Description: partial 16S ribosomal RNA
Rfam family: Bacterial small subunit ribosomal RNA
Source: RNAcentral
UACGUAGGGAGCAAGCGUUGUCCGGAAUCAUUGGGCGUAAAGCGCGCGUAGGUGGCCAUGUAAGUCCGCUGUGAAAGUCAAAGGCUCAACCUUUGAAAGCCGGUGGAUACUGCAUGGCUAGAGUACGGAAGAGGCGAGUGGAAUUCCUGGUGUAGCGGUGGAAUGCGCAGAUAUCAGGAGGAACACCGGUGGCGAAGGCGGGUCUCUGGGCAGUAACUGACGCUGAGGAGCGAAAGCGUGGGGAGCGAACAGG